Molecule: small RNA, 27 nt
Filed under: Arabidopsis thaliana (thale cress)
Lineage: Eukaryota; Viridiplantae; Streptophyta; Magnoliopsida; Brassicales; Brassicaceae
Description: ATSL109320
Source: RNAcentral
GUUUUUCUGUUUUUUUUUGCUUUCUGU